Molecule: ribosomal RNA, 253 nt
Filed under: uncultured bacterium
Lineage: Bacteria
Description: partial 16S ribosomal RNA
Rfam family: Bacterial small subunit ribosomal RNA
Source: RNAcentral
UACGUAGGUGGCAAGCGUUAUCCGGAAUUAUUGGGCGUAAAGCGCGCGCAGGUGGUUCCUUAAGUCUGAUGUGAAAGCCCCCGGCUCAACCGGGGAGGGUCAUUGGAAACUGGGGAACUUGAGUGUAGAAGAGGAAAGUGGAAUUCCACGUGUAGCGGUGAAAUGCGUAGAGAUGUGGAGGAACACCAGUGGCGAAGGCGACUAACUGGACAUGUAUUGACGCUGAGGUGCGAAAGCGUGGGGAGCAAACAGG